This 253-nucleotide ribosomal RNA is filed under the name uncultured bacterium. RNAcentral describes it as "partial 16S ribosomal RNA". It matches the Rfam family "Bacterial small subunit ribosomal RNA", at positions 524 to 776 of the family's 1533-position model. The record is from RNAcentral.
UACGGGGGGGGCAAGCGUUGUUCGGAAUUACUGGGCGUAAAGGGCUCGUAGGUGGCCAACUAAGUCAGACGUGAAAUCCCUCGGCUUAACCGGGGAACUGCGUCUGAUACUGGAUGGCUUGAGUUUGGGAGAGGGACGCGGAAUUCCAGGUGUAGCGGUGAAAUGCGUAGAUAUCUGGAGGAACACCGGUGGCGAAGGCGGCAUCCUGGACCAACACUGACGCUGAGGAGCGAAAGCCAGGGGAGCGAACGGG